Molecule: long non-coding RNA, 206 nt
Filed under: Capsicum annuum
Lineage: Eukaryota; Viridiplantae; Streptophyta; Magnoliopsida; Solanales; Solanaceae
Description: long non-coding RNA (CANN_LNC001148)
Source: RNAcentral
GUAUGUGUUAACUUGUGGGGGUAUGAAUAAAUGGUCUUUUUGUGUUUUUGGGGUAAAUGGUUUUUCAAAUAUUUUGUUCAUAUUUAUAUUCUGGUAUCUUGGUCGAUUAACUCCUUUGCUUGUACCUGCAGAAGUAGAUUGAUAAAUGUUAUGGGUUUUAUGGAGUGUCCCAACGUCUCCUUCUAGCUCUGGAACUUUAAUGUCUU